This 2933-nucleotide ribosomal RNA is filed under the name Escherichia coli. RNAcentral's name for it is "23S ribosomal RNA". It matches the Rfam family "Bacterial large subunit ribosomal RNA". The record is from RNAcentral. Lineage: Bacteria; Pseudomonadati; Pseudomonadota; Gammaproteobacteria; Enterobacterales; Enterobacteriaceae.
GGGUUGUGAGGUUAAGCGACUAAGCGUACACGGUGGAUGCCCUGGCAGUCAGAGGCGAUGAAGGACGUGCUAAUCUGCGAUAAGCGUCGGUAAGGUGAUAUGAACCGUUAUAACCGGCGAUUUCCGAAUGGGGAAACCCAGUGUGAUUCGUCACACUAUCAUUAACUGAAUCCAUAGGUUAAUGAGGCGAACCGGGGGAACUGAAACAUCUAAGUACCCCGAGGAAAAGAAAUCAACCGAGAUUCCCCCAGUAGCGGCGAGCGAACGGGGAGCAGCCCAGAGCCUGAAUCAGUGUGUGUGUUAGUGGAAGCGUCUGGAAAGGCGUGCGAUACAGGGUGACAGCCCCGUACACAAAAAUGCACAUAUUGUGAGCUCGAUGAGUAGGGCGGGACACGUGGUAUCCUGUCUGAAUAUGGGGGGACCAUCCUCCAAGGCUAAAUACUCCUGACUGACCGAUAGUGAACCAGUACCGUGAGGGAAAGGCGAAAAGAACCCCGGCGAGGGGAGUGAAAAAGAACCUGAAACCGUGUACGUACAAGCAGUGGGAGCACAGAGCAAUCUGUGUGACUGCGUACCUUUUGUAUAAUGGGUCAGCGACUUAUAUUCUGUAGCAAGGUUAACCGAAUAGGGGAGCCGAAGGGAAACCGAGUCUUAACUGGGCGUUAAGUUGCAGGGUAUAGACCCGAAACCCGGUGAUCUAGCCAUGGGCAGGUUGAAGGUUGGGUAACACUAACUGGAGGACCGAACCGACUAAUGUUGAAAAAUUAGCGGAUGACUUGUGGCUGGGGGUGAAAGGCCAAUCAAACCGGGAGAUAGCUGGUUCUCCCCGAAAGCUAUUUAGGUAGCGCCUCGUGAAUUCAUCUCCGGGGGUAGAGCACUGUUUCGGCAAGGGGGUCAUCCCGACUUACCAACCCGAUGCAAACUGCGAAUACCGGAGAAUGUUAUCACGGGAGACACACGGCGGGUGCUAACGUCCGUCGUGAAGAGGGAAACAACCCAGACCGCCAGCUAAGGUCCCAAAGUCAUGGUUAAGUGGGAAACGAUGUGGGAAGGCCCAGACAGCCAGGAUGUUGGCUUAGAAGCAGCCAUCAUUUAAAGAAAGCGUAAUAGCUCACUGGUCGAGUCGGCCUGCGCGGAAGAUGUAACGGGGCUAAACCAUGCACCGAAGCUGCGGCAGCGACGCUUAUGCGUUGUUGGGUAGGGGAGCGUUCUGUAAGCCUGUGAAGGUGUGCUGUGAGGCAUGCUGGAGGUAUCAGAAGUGCGAAUGCUGACAUAAGUAACGAUAAAGCGGGUGAAAAGCCCGCUCGCCGGAAGACCAAGGGUUCCUGUCCAACGUUAAUCGGGGCAGGGUGAGUCGACCCCUAAGGCGAGGCCGAAAGGCGUAGUCGAUGGGAAACAGGUUAAUAUUCCUGUACUUGGUGUUACUGCGAAGGGGGGACGGAGAAGGCUAUGUUGGCCGGGCGACGGUUGUCCCGGUUUAAGCGUGUAGGCUGGUUUUCCAGGCAAAUCCGGAAAAUCAAGGCUGAGGCGUGAUGACGAGGCACUACGGUGCUGAAGCAACAAAUGCCCUGCUUCCAGGAAAAGCCUCUAAGCAUCAGGUAACAUCAAAUCGUACCCCAAACCGACACAGGUGGUCAGGUAGAGAAUACCAAGGCGCUUGAGAGAACUCGGGUGAAGGAACUAGGCAAAAUGGUGCCGUAACUUCGGGAGAAGGCACGCUGAUAUGUAGGUGAAGUCCCUCGCGGAUGGAGCUGAAAUCAGUCGAAGAUACCAGCUGGCUGCAACUGUUUAUUAAAAACACAGCACUGUGCAAACACGAAAGUGGACGUAUACGGUGUGACGCCUGCCCGGUGCCGGAAGGUUAAUUGAUGGGGUUAGCGCAAGCGAAGCUCUUGAUCGAAGCCCCGGUAAACGGCGGCCGUAACUAUAACGGUCCUAAGGUAGCGAAAUUCCUUGUCGGGUAAGUUCCGACCUGCACGAAUGGCGUAAUGAUGGCCAGGCUGUCUCCACCCGAGACUCAGUGAAAUUGAACUCGCUGUGAAGAUGCAGUGUACCCGCGGCAAGACGGAAAGACCCCGUGAACCUUUACUAUAGCUUGACACUGAACAUUGAGCCUUGAUGUGUAGGAUAGGUGGGAGGCUUUGAAGUGUGGACGCCAGUCUGCAUGGAGCCGACCUUGAAAUACCACCCUUUAAUGUUUGAUGUUCUAACGUUGACCCGUAAUCCGGGUUGCGGACAGUGUCUGGUGGGUAGUUUGACUGGGGCGGUCUCCUCCUAAAGAGUAACGGAGGAGCACGAAGGUUGGCUAAUCCUGGUCGGACAUCAGGAGGUUAGUGCAAUGGCAUAAGCCAGCUUGACUGCGAGCGUGACGGCGCGAGCAGGUGCGAAAGCAGGUCAUAGUGAUCCGGUGGUUCUGAAUGGAAGGGCCAUCGCUCAACGGAUAAAAGGUACUCCGGGGAUAACAGGCUGAUACCGCCCAAGAGUUCAUAUCGACGGCGGUGUUUGGCACCUCGAUGUCGGCUCAUCACAUCCUGGGGCUGAAGUAGGUCCCAAGGGUAUGGCUGUUCGCCAUUUAAAGUGGUACGCGAGCUGGGUUUAGAACGUCGUGAGACAGUUCGGUCCCUAUCUGCCGUGGGCGCUGGAGAACUGAGGGGGGCUGCUCCUAGUACGAGAGGACCGGAGUGGACGCAUCACUGGUGUUCGGGUUGUCAUGCCAAUGGCACUGCCCGGUAGCUAAAUGCGGAAGAGAUAAGUGCUGAAAGCAUCUAAGCACGAAACUUGCCCCGAGAUGAGUUCUCCCUGACUCCUUGAGAGUCCUGAAGGAACGUUGAAGACGACGACGUUGAUAGGCCGGGUGUGUAAGCGCAGCGAUGCGUUGAGCUAACCGGUACUAAUGAACCGUGAGGCUUAACCUUACAACGCCGAAGGUGUUU